Molecule: RNA transcript, 547 nt
Organism: Piliocolobus tephrosceles (Ugandan red Colobus)
Lineage: Eukaryota; Metazoa; Chordata; Mammalia; Primates; Cercopithecidae
Gene name: peptidyl-prolyl cis-trans isomerase A pseudogene
Exons: 1
Source: RefSeq, a predicted model, not a curated record
CCUGCUUUCACAGAAUUAUUCCAGGGUUUAUGUGUCAGGGUGGUGACUUCACACGCCAUAAUGGCACUGGUGGCAAGUCCAUCUAUGGGGAGAAAUUUGAAGAUGAGAACUUCAUCCUAAAGCAUACAGGUCCUGGCAUCUUGUCCAUGGCAAAUGCUGGACCCAACACAAAUGGUUCCCAGUUUUUCAUCUGCACUGCCAAGACUGAGUGGUUGGAUGGCAAGCAUGUGGUCUUUGGCAAAGUGAAAGAAGGCAUGAAUAUUGUGGAGGCCAUGGAGCGCUUUGGGUCCAGGAAUGGCAAGACCAGCAAGAAGAUCACCAUUGCUGACUGUGGACAACUCGAAUAAGUUUGACUUGUGUUUUAUCUUAACCACCAGACCAUUCCUUCUGUAGCUCAGGAGAGCACCCCUCCACCCCAUUUGCUCGCAGUAUCCUGGAAUCUUUGUGCUCUUGCUGCAGUUCCCUUUGGGUUCCAUGUUUUCCUUGUUCUCUCCCAUGCCUAGCUAGAUUGCAGAGUUAAGUUUAUGAUUAUGAAAUAAAAACUAAA